UGGGGAAUAUUGGACAAUGGGCGAAAGCCUGAUCCAGCCAUGCCGCGUGUGUGAAGAAGGUCUUCGGAUUGUAAAGCACUUUAAGUUGGGAGGAAGGGCAUUAACCUAAUACGUUAGUGUUUUGACGUUACCGACAGAAUAAGCACCGGCUAACUCUGUGCCAGCAGCCGCGGUAAUACAGAGGGCGCAAGCGUUAAUCGGAAUUACUGGGCGUAAAGCGCGCGUAGGUGGUUUGUUAAGUUGGAUGUGAAAUCCCCGGGCUCAACCUGGGAACUGCAUUCAAAACUGACUGACUAGAGUAUGGUAGAGGGUGGUGGAAUUUCCUGUGUAGCGGUGAAAUGCGUAGAUAUAGGAAGGAACACCAGUGGCGAAGGCGACCACCUGGACUAAUACUGACACUGAGGUGCGAAAGCGUGGGGAGCAAACA
RNAcentral lists this ribosomal RNA (427 nucleotides) under uncultured bacterium. RNAcentral describes it as "partial 16S ribosomal RNA". It matches the Rfam family "Bacterial small subunit ribosomal RNA", at positions 355 to 774 of the family's 1533-position model. The record is from RNAcentral.